AUCAUUCAAUUCAAUAUUUUCUUGUCAUUUGUAGUCAAUACCAGAAUACAAACGCAGUUAUAAUAAACGGUUUAUGUUUGAGUCAAAAUAACCGCGCUUAGUUUUCAUCAUGUAUCAAGUGUGUAUUGUUCGUAAAAACUUUAUUUUUAAGUAAAUAAUUCUUCAAAAUAUUGACAUUAAUAGAUUAAGUGCUUAAAUUUUUACUUCAUAUUUAUAUAUCAGUACAUAUGUGGUCUUCGAUUAAAACAAUUAAUAUAUUGGCUGUUUUAAUGGAUAAAGAUUUUGAAGUGUCAAAAAUUUUAAAAUAAUAUUGAAAAAAUGGUAAGCAAAUUACCACAAGAAUUUAGAAGAUAUUUACGUAAUCGAAAUCAAUUACAACAUGUUCUUGAAGAAACUCAACAAGCAUUAGAACUUAUUAACCUAGAAAACUUCUUUCCUGAAGAAAAUGUUGUGGAAGAAUUAUUACCUCCUUUAACAUUAAACAGAAUCACACAUAUUUUAGCAAAUUCUCCAGCUAUUAUAAUUCUUGGACAAGAUAGCAAGGCAAAAGCAAUAGUAGUUAAUACAUUAAUAUCUAAUGAUAUUUUACCAGUAUGUAAUGGAUUAUGGCGAUGGAUUAGACUUACUUAUGGUCAAACAAAUCACAUUAGUCUCACAUUAGAUCUAGAAUAUGAAUUAGUUGAAAAUUUACAAGCAAAUGAAAAACCUUGGAGUACUCUUCCAAUUGAGGAUUUAACAAAGUCUGAUAAUGAAGAUAUAACUUAUCCAACUGUGCUUGAAGUUCAGCUUAAUCUGCCUAUAUUAAAAGAUGGUGUUCAAAUUUUUAUUGCUCCAAAUAAUGGGGCAGUAAAAGUUCUUGCAAAUGAAUUCUUAUCUAUUUUACCAAUAUUUUUAUAUGCACUUGGUGAACAACCUUUAACAGAACAAAAUUUAGAAGAAUUAAGAGAUUUAAAAGAAACAUAUCCUUUUAAUCCUGUACUUUUUAUCUCAUCCUUGGAAAAUAUAUCAUUGAAUGGUAUUGAUCCUGAAUUGACAGAAUCUGAACAACAUAGACUUCAAAAUCGACUGUAUACUAAUGAUUCUACAUCAAGUAAAACUAAUGAUGAUAGUAUUGAUUUUGACAGAAUGAAUUCACUUGGAUUAUCAUGGUUAGAUCAACUAACAAAUUUAGGUUUUCUUGGAAUGAAAGAAUCUGUUGAAGUUGAUCAAUUAUCUUGGCUAGGUGGUGGACAAUAUAUAAGUGACUUUGUGGGUUCAUGUAGAAAAACAGAUCAAAUUUUAUAUUUUAUUCGUGGAUGUUUGCAAACUUAUCUUAUUAAUGCUAGCACUUAUUUAAAUGAAGUACAUACAGCAAGCUUAAGAAAAUUCAUUUUAAGUGCUUUUGAUAUGGCACGUAUAAUUCAAAUAACUCCUAAAAGAAUACAAUAUGCUCAACAUAAAGAAAAUGAAUUGUAUGCCAAUCUAAUGAAAAUUGUUCAUGAAAAACAACAAGAAAUAACUGGAUUAAUACAAAACAUUAUUCAAGAAAUGAAAAAUGAUGUUUUAUUAUCUAAUAAUGAUGUUUAUUUGUAUCAAAACACCAUGUCUAAUAAUAAUCAAAGGACAGAGUGGUCUGCAACUGUUAAAGCUGCAAUUUCUGAAGUUCAGAGAGUAGUGCUUGGUCGUCUAUGCGAAAAAGUCGCAAAACAACUUGUAAAUUCCGUGAAUUGUUUGCGUGAGAGUUUUAUUGGUACAUUACAGCGUUGUUUAUUAAGUCUUGAAAAAACAUAUGAACGCGAUACUUGUUUAUUAGCAAGUGAUGCUUUGAAACAAAUACUCUCAGCUGCAUAUAAUGUUGAAUUACAUAAUUCUUCACCAUUUUCAAUAUAUUCAUUUUUAGAAAGAUUAAAUUUAAUUUUUAUGUCUUCAUCUUUGCAAUGGUCAUCAACUCACACCUUAGAUGUAGCUUGGAGAAGAAAAGUGACAAUAGAAAUACUAAAUUCUUUAUCUGCAACAAAACUAUCCAAAAUAAUAUUGAUGCAAUUUGGAGAUAAACUUGAAUCAUCACAUGAUUCAUUUCAAGCAGCUCUCAGAUCUAUAGAAAAUUAUUAUUCUGGAAAAUUAGAAAGAACAGAAGAACAAAGAAUAGCUCUUAGAAAAUAUCAUGCUCCUAGAUUAGCUAAAUUAGCAUUAGAAUCAACUUCAAUGAUAGAUGUUGUUCGUUAUGGAAAACCUCAUUGUGCUGAAGAAAUUGGCCGUGGCCAAUAUGGAAUUGUAUUUGCUUGUGAUGGUUGGGGUGGUAAAGCUGGUCCUUGUGCAAUUAAAUCAGUUGUUCCAUCAGAUGAAAGCCAUUGGAAUGAUCUGGCUAUGGAAUUUUAUUAUAAUAGAUCUAUUCCUGAUCAUAAAAGAAUAGUAAAACUUAGAGGAUCAAUUAUCGAUCAUUCUUAUGGUGGAGGAUUUGGAUUUGGAUCUGCUGUUCUUUUGAUAUCAGAUCGUUUAAGUCGUGAUUUAUAUUGCGGAAUACGUGCCGGCUUAUCGUGGUUAGAACGUAUACAAAUAGCAUUAGAUGUGUUAGAAGGAAUACGUUAUCUUCAUUCUCAAGGACUUGUACAUCGAGAUGUUAAAUUGAAAAACGUCCUUCUUGAUAUUGAAAAUAGAGCGAAAUUAACUGAUUUUGGAUUUUGCAUCACAGAAGUUAUGAUGUUAGGAAGCAUUGUGGGAACACCUGUCCAUAUGGCACCAGAAUUACUUUCUGGUCAUUAUGAUAGUAGUGUUGAUGUAUAUGCAUUUGGGAUUUUAUUUUGGUAUUUAUGCGCAGGACAUGUAAGAUUACCAUACACUUUUGAACAAUUCCAUAAUAAAGAACUAUUAUGGACCAGUGUGAAAAAAGGUAUACGUCCAGAAAGAUUACCUUCUUUUGAUGAUGAAUGUUGGAGAUUAAUGGAACAAUGUUGGUCUGGAGAACCAUCUAAACGUCCUUUACUUGGAGCUAUUGUACCAGUAUUAGAAUCUAUUCAACAAAAAGCAAAAAGAAGCAAAUCCUUACAAGAGGUCUCCUCAGAUAAAUUACAAGAAAGUUCAACAACAGAUUCAAGAAAUCCUGCAUUAGCACUAGCAGAACCUUAUAAUCAAAGAGAUGACAAAUUCUUCAAAACAAAAUCUACAUAAACCUUUAAAUGGAAUUUCAAAAUGUGAUAAUGUUUAAAUACUUUUAUCAUUUGACAAGAAAUAUUGUUUUUAUCUUUUGGAUUAUAGUAUACAUAGAUUCUCAAUUAGCAACAGCUAUUAAAUCAAACAAUUAUAUAUUUUAAAACUAGUGGAAGCAUUUCUCUAAGAUUAUUAAAGACGCCAUGAUAAUCAAUGAGCCAAAUCGAUGUAUGCAGUAAAGCAGGUACAAUACAUACAUCUUUGGAUUUUUGUUAAUCGAGCUACGUUUGCUCUGGUUGACGACAGUCAAACAUUUGACAAAAGGGAACUGGAGUUAGGUGAUUCGAUUAAAUAACUAACAAGAAGAAGGAAAGAACAAUAGCUAUAAACUCGAGAAAAGGGAACAAGACAUUACACAGUAUCCCAGCUGAACAUCAGUUCAAGCAGAAAAUUCGCAUAAGCAGCAGCUUUUUAAAAAGUGGGUUUGUUUUUCAUCGAGAGGCGAGAAGACUGAAAGGGUUUAAUUAAAUGAUACGCUAGCGCGUUCCCGCCGACAAAGAACGUAUCAAACGCGUGUACGAGAUGAAAUUCUAUGGAAAAGAAGAAACAGAGGCGAAUAGAAAAGAUGAAACACGUCCGCAGAUACAAAUAUGGGACGAUCCACUUUUGGACAGUGUACUCAGCUUUGCUCGCGAUACACGGAAACUUAUUACUAUAGAGAUCCACGUUACUUAUCGUGGCGGAUGUAUUAUCCCCGCGGCUUCGUGUCACAGAAGAAAGAAAAGAAAAAAGGGAAGAAAGAACAGGCAGGUCGUACAGAGAAGAAAGAAACGGAUAAAUUUUGGGCAAGCUUGGAUAAAUCGCGAUUGUCUGACAGGAUCAGACCGAUCGUUAAAACACGAGGGAUCCAAUCCUUUUUUAAAAUCCAUUUUUAAAAAAUGGCGCGUUUCACUAGCGCGUUCCGAGAAGUUUCUAAAUGCGGUGCACGAUGCUAACGAUGCUCGUCUCCACUCGGAAAAGUAUCCUAGGAGCCUACCUCGAGUCGUCGCGUAAUUUCCACCGCUGAACGUGUACGCCGACGCGUAAUAAACGACAAAAAGAAAGAAAAAAAAAAAAUAA
This is an RNA transcript of Apis dorsata (giant honeybee), 4245 nucleotides long. It is a transcript of the gene named dual serine/threonine and tyrosine protein kinase, with no coding region annotated. NCBI's taxonomy places the organism in Eukaryota, Metazoa, Arthropoda, Insecta, Hymenoptera, Apidae. The record is from RefSeq and is a predicted model, not a curated record. The transcript has 9 exons.